UUUCAUCUUUCAUUUAGAUUUCGUAGGCCAAAAAAUUAAUGCAAAAAAUUGUCAUAGUUAUUCUCUAAUCAAUGCAUUUUGCUGGCUGUUUCUUUUCUUUGUUAUUUGCUACGGUUUCCUCAUGCUGCUCGUUUUCCCAGUUGAGAUUGACUCGAGCUUGUGGUAUUUCCUUCAGGAGCUCUAAAAGAAACAUCGGCUCCCGCUACCAACUCGAAGGAGCAAGCUGAGGAGGCAAUCGAGCAGGCAGACCCUACCCCCAAGGCUCCUGCACCUGAGAAGGAGAAGGUUCGAAUGGAGAAGACCGCUGUCAGGCAUUGAGGCAAACCGAGAGGUUCGGACAUCGAAGUCGAUCCCAAAGAUAAUCCCGAAGAGGAAGAAAUCCACAAACUACCGGGUCUGGGCUACCCCUGCUGCAGUUGCUUUAGUCCUGUUGCUGCAAGCACUCGGCCACCAUGCUUCGUGUUUUGGAGUCGUGAUGUGGUUUUGGGGAAGAGGCAGUGUUGACGGGGGUAGGGGACAAAGUCUGUUGUGUUGGGUUUGCACCAGAUGAAGGAUGUUAUCACCGCCAUUUGCGAUGAAUGUUUCGAUGCCAAGCACACGUGAUUAGGACGGAGGAUCAGAGAAGGGAGGACAGAGGAAAGGAUAUCUUUCCUGAUAAUUUUGCUUAACAGGGUGGAAAGAUGUUGUUAGGGUCAAGGAAUUUUGGAAUAAAAUUUAUGGAUGUCAAGCAUAGAUCGAAGCUUUUGGCUACGGUGACCAUCAUUGCCCUCAUUAUCCCCGAAACAGUCGGAUUCUGGUCAGAGUACUUGGCGGUGUAGGGCAGUGAGCUUGCACGGAUGAGGAGUUUACUUAGCCACCUCAAUUUCUGUAGCUUUCUCCUACCUAACGUAAGUAAGUUUCUUUGACCUUAGAAUUUGGAUAAAAUUGUGUUGUUGAAGAGGAUGAUAUCGUUUUAUUAUCUUUCAUAUAAUAUAAAUAGA
Punica granatum (pomegranate) is the source of this 980-nucleotide non-coding RNA. Lineage: Eukaryota; Viridiplantae; Streptophyta; Magnoliopsida; Myrtales; Lythraceae. The record is from RefSeq and is a predicted model, not a curated record.